UUUCAAUGCACAUUUUUCUAAGCUUAAGAAGCUCACAAAAAUUGCAAUAGUAAUUUUUAGUUUGGUUUUUAAAGGAAAUUAAAACAUUUUUCAAAGAGAUAUUCAGCGUAUGAUGCCUUGCAGAAAGUGUGUUGCUGGUUGCAGUUUGGAGGUGCCGCUGUAUCCCUUCCCAUCAGAAGGGGAAAUGUCCAGGAUUGGUUGCUUACAAAACGAAUUUUGUGCUGUGCAGUACGUGGGGCCAUGAUCCCUAAAUGAAUAUUCUUACAUUUCAUCACUUAAACAAUAAUAAUAAUAAUAAGUAUCACAAAGAAAAUAUGAUUCGGUUUAAAAAAAUUAAAAUCAAUUAUAGUAAAUUUAAGUUAAUUUUAUAGUAUAAGGUAAAUUAUUUGGUAUAUUUAUAAAUUUUCACAUUUUUUACAAACAUAGAUUUUCUUUUGAGUGCAUUUUGAGCAUACAAAAUUUUUACAGAUAUUACAAAUGGUGCUAGUUUUAUUAUUAUUACAGUACCCAAUUUGACACCAUUUGCGUAAACAAAGUAAAGCCUUAGGAGUUGUAGGUACAAUAGUUUCUCGUGAUUCCAUUCCUGGUUUAACAUUUUUCUCGGUAUUUCCAAUAUCAAGUUCAUCUGCUAAUUGAAAAGGAAAAUCUGUUCUGGAUAUCUUUUCACCUGUUGUUUCUCUAUAUAAGAUCCAGGCAUUUAUGCCCGCUAAGUCUAAAAUAUUAAAAAAUACUUGGAGUGGCCAUCUCUUUAUCCUGAUUUUACGCUAUAUUUCUUUACCAUUUGGUCUGUAAUAUCUACGCCAAACUUAGUUUUAUUAUAAAACUCAAGUGUUUCAGGUAAUAGCUUGUUACUUUUAUGAACUCUGACGGAGUAGUUCUAGUGUUAAGUAUGGAGGAAAUACAUUUUUAAAACAUUAAAAAUAUUGAGAAAAUAACAGAACUCAGAUGUAAAGCAAAAAAAGUAAAAUAAUAAAUUAUCAGCCUUAUAAUAGUAAUACUAAUAAUCUGUAAAUACAAAAAAAAUAAGAGCACACAGGUUAAAAUGAACAUUGAACAAAUUUCAAAGAAAAAGCAAGCCCAACCUGUAGAUCAAAUGAUGGAGAGGAUCAAGCACUAUUCCUCUUUGAAUCGGAACGCUUCAAUUUAGAGAUGGGGGAGUUAAUACCACCAGUUCAUAUUACAUGAAAAUAUCUUUUAUUUGUCAUAAAUAUGUAAUAUAACACUUACGAUCCAUAUGGUCCGUAUUGAAACAUUAUACUUUGCUAACACGGUGCGCCUUAAGUGGUCCCAAGAUGUAAUUCAUAGAUUGUAAGAUGAAUCUUUCUACUUGUAACAUAUGGUGUAUCUCAAGUGGAUUGUAGAUAUAUGUACAUACUUCUUAGAAUGUAAGAUUAAUAUUUGUUUCUAGGCUUAAGAAAAAUAUUGUAUUUAAGAAGAGAAAAUAAAAUGAAACGGGGAGUUGCCCACGAAACACCAACCGAAUAAUUAAUUUGCAUGCCUGGUUUCUCAAUCUUCUUGUGUUUCUGGAAGUGGUUCGGUUUCUCCGUUGUGUUGUGACCAAUAGGAUGUGCCUUUAUGGGUUGUGUGGACUAAAUUCUGUAUA
Molecule: long non-coding RNA, 1603 nt
Organism: Bactrocera dorsalis (oriental fruit fly)
Lineage: Eukaryota; Metazoa; Arthropoda; Insecta; Diptera; Tephritidae
Exons: 3
Source: RefSeq, a predicted model, not a curated record